Molecule: long non-coding RNA, 829 nt
Organism: Brienomyrus brachyistius
Lineage: Eukaryota; Metazoa; Chordata; Actinopteri; Osteoglossiformes; Mormyridae
Exons: 4
Source: RefSeq, a predicted model, not a curated record
GGAGAGCGGUGGUUAAAGGUGUUUGGAGACGACGUUGACGAAGAAGAACAGGCUGAACACGACGUUUUCGGGAUGUGGUGGCACAAGAAAAAUCCAACAUCAACGCGAGACGAACCUCCGUUCUUCAUGGACUACCAUUCCUUCUCGGGGAGGACGCCACAGAUUUUUACAAGACCUGUUUUGACUGUGACGACAAUGAAGACCUGUCUGACAUUACAAUUGGAAUUCCGACGGUGAUUCCCGAGCACUCUGCAACCGCAGCACUACCCUACUCCCUGCGUCUUGAUGCCACAGCAGCAGCUAUCAUUUUGGAAGGUACCGUGGUUGUGGAUAACGUGGAAAAUCUUCCACAAGCAAUGUGUCUGCUCUUUGGACUGAUUUAUGCUCUAAACUUAGAGUAUCCCGCAGCUCUGAAGAGCACAUUUGAUUUCAUACAGAGAGUGAUUUUGUCUCUUGGCCGCUCAAACCUAAAAUCCAAUCACUAAAAAAAUCGCUUGAUGCAGUGAUAUGUCAUUGCCAUGAUGUGAAUGUUCAGUACUACACUGAUAGUGUUUUCCAGUUGUUGAAAAGGAAAAAAAAGUUUACUUAAUAUUAAAGUUAGUUUUAAAAGAGUUUUAUUAGAAGACAAUUUUGAAGAGAACUAUAUUAGGAAAGCUUUACUAAAUUUACAGACUGUUCAGUGUUUGCAAGCUCUGCUUUUGACCACUUUGUAAAAAUGUUUUAAAAAAAGAGAGAGAAGAAUUUUGUCCUAUUGUACUUUAUUUUAAGUGCAAUAUGUGUUGUUGUUUUUUUUUGUCUAAAUUGUUUUUGGCAGCCCAUGUUGACAGGC